GAGACGCUUGCUUCAAGCCAUAUAAACUUUUAUUUAGCUUGCAAACUUUUGGUGCUCCAUUUACAGAAUAACCAAGGGGCAUCUGUAUAUAUACCUCUUCUUCAAGGUCUCCAUGCAAAAACGCAUUGUUAACAUCAAAUUGGUGCAAAUACCAUCCUCUCACUGCUACCAUUGCAAGUAAUGUCCUCACUGUUACCAAUUUUGCCACCGGUGAAAUUGUUUCGUGGUAAUCUAUGCCCUCCAGUUGGGUGUAUCAUUUUGCCAUCAAUCUUGCUUUAUGCCUUUCAAUUGUUUCAUCAGCAUUAAAUUUCACCUUAUAAACCCAUCUACAUCCUAUAGGUACCUUUCCAGGUUGAAGAUCAGUCACAUCCUAGGUUUGGUUUGACUCAAGUGUUCCUAUUUCAGCCUUCAUAGCUUCACACCACCUGGUUAUUUGACAGCCUCUUGAUAAGAAGCAGGCUCUGGAUGUUCAAGUAUAGAUGAGGUAAAAGCUUUGUACUUAUUUGAGAGUGUAUGAUGUGAAAGUGUUAAACAUAAAGGGAAUGGAUUACUUGGUUUCACAACACCUUUCUGCUUGUUGAACUUUUGAGAAUGGUUGAGUGAGGAUGCCUGUUGACAAAUAAAAUCCUCCAAAUAGGUGGGUGUUUUUCUGUUCCUGUUAACUGUACGGGACAUUAGAUAACAACUCAUACUAAUCAGGAUUUUCAUUGCUUUCUGCAGGCUCUAUACUUUGACUGGACUCUUGUGUAGGUUCUAUUUAUGGUUGAUGAUUAGAAUUAACAGGAUAAUUUAGGUCAAUACCACUUGGUUGGGUAUAAGGCAAGUUUGUAAGAUUUGACAGCUUGUAGGUAGGAUUUGGUAAAUUAUCAUUGGCCUUAGGUUUAGAUGUUUUGCAAGGGAAUAUUUUUUGAUGGAAUAUUACAUCCCUUGAUGUGAAAAUCUUAUAUGAAAAUCUUGUUAGUUUCUAUGUCCAGUAGCUUGUAUCCCUUGGUCCCAAAAGGGUAAUCCUAAGAAGAUACGCCUGCUGGCUCUUGAAUCGAACUUAUGUCUGUUGUGGCUAAGUGUGGUGGCAAAAGCAAGGUAGCCAAACGCUCAAAGGUUGGAGUAGUUUGGUUUGGUCUUGAAAAGAAUUUCAAAUGGGCUUUUAUCACAAAGAUUGGGAGUAGGUGUUCUGUUAAUGAGAAAGACAGCUGUUAAGACACAAUCAUUCCAGUAUAGCAUAGGCAAUGCACUCUGGAAUCUUAAUGCUCUGGCUACGUUCAAGAUGUGUUGGUGCUUCCUUUCAACAACGGCAUUCUGCUGGGGAGUCUCAACACGUGGUUUGAUGUAUAAUCCCCUUUUCCGAGCAAAUUGUUUCAAGUUAAAUUCUCCUCCAUUAUCAGUUCUAACAACCUUUAUUUUGGAAUUAAAUUGUGCCUCUAUCAUGGCAUAGAAAUUUUGUAAAACAAUAGAUGCAUCAGACUUCAAUUUUAGCAAAUAAACCCAAGUGCACCUGCUGUGAUCAUCAACAAUUGUAAGAAAGUACUUCGAUCUAUCAUAAGCAAUUUCAUUACAAGGCCUUUAUAAAUCAUAAUGAAUCAAGUCAAAACAAUUUUGUGAUCUGUGUUGGCUAAUAUUGAAAGGCAGCCUAUGUAAUUUUGCUAAGGGACAAAUAGGGCAGUGUUUGUUGUUGUGUUUUGUUUCCAAACCUUGAUGUAAAUUGGUUAAGUGCAACCUAGAAUCUGAUAAGUGGCCUAAUCUGAAAUGCCACAAAUCAAAAUCAUCCUAACUAACAUUAGUGGCAGCCGACAGAACGACUUGGUUACUCAAUUUUGGUAAGUCAUUAACAAGAGUUGUGGGAGAGACUUCUUUUGGCAUCAAAUGGUAAAGGCCUUUUCUCACUUCACCGAGACCAAUCGUCCUUCAAGUUGAAAGGUCCUGCACAUAACAUGAAUCAGAAGAGAAAAUGAGACAACACUUAGAUCCUUGAGCUAAUCUUCUAGCAGAUAUGAGAUUGAAUGAGAAAGAUGGAACACAUAAGACAUUACGGAGUAAUAAAUUGUCUGUGAUUCUAACACUCCCUAUAUUAGUAGCUAAUGCCAUAGUUCCAUUAGGUAAUGCAACAGAUUGUGAGAUUUUGGAUUUGAUAUUUGUGAGAAAGGAUACUGAGCAUACCAUAUGGUCUGUGGCUCUUCCUGUAUCCAUAACCCAAGGUAUGCUGGAACUUAUUUUGUUCUCUACCCUGUAAGCAGAUGAACACGUGUAGGUGCAAGAAACUUCAGAUGUAUCUAUGUGUUUGGAAGAAAGUAAAUUUAGACCCUGAACAUGGCUAGUAGGUAACGUAUCAGGCUGGUUGAUUGGUGGUUUGAGUAAAGCUAUCAACUGAGUAUACUGAUCUUGAGUCAAACCAACUUGGUUCCUGUUACCAACUUGCUCCUGUGCAGGCACCAUAGGCGGAGAUUUCUAGCUUGUGGAAGCAAGAUUUGCUUGCGGGUUUCCAUAGAGCGUGUGGCCUGGUAGAUAUCCAUGGAUUUUAAAAUAAUUGUUGAUAGUAUGCCCAGGCAUUUGGCAAUGUAUGCAGACUGAUUUGUUUAUUUGCCUUAAAACACAUUUCUAGUGAAUGACCUCGUAUCUUGCAAAAAGUGCAGUAAUACCUUUUUGGAGGCCCUAGAUUUCUCUUUUCUGCCUCUCGGGGACAGUUUUUGACACGAGUGCCAUCCCUUCAGUGCUAGGCAUAUCAGUGGAAAUAUCCCUCCUCUUCUCUUCUUGUCGAAUUGUGGAGUAUACUUCAUUCAAUUUGAAAUGGCUUGAUUAGCAGGAUUUGAGCUUUGAGCAAUUUGUAGGAGUCAUUGAGUCCCAUGAGAAAUUUCAUUAUCCAAUCUAUUUCUUGGUUACUUACAACUGUCUUCAACCCUCCACAGGUGCAAUUAGGAAUAGACUCAUAAUUCAUUAACUCAUCAAGUAGUGUCUUCAGUUUUUAAAAAUAGGUACUCACAUUAUCCGGUCCCUGCAGCAGUCCAGCGAUGCUUUGCUUGACUUCAUAAAUCCUGGGAGCAUUUUGUUGAGCCCGUUGUUCUAAUUCCAGCCAAAGUUGGUGUGCUGUUUCAGCAUACGAAGUGCUUGCCUUAAUGUCUACUGCCAUGGUAUUUUGCAAUCAAGUGAUAACUAUAUCAUUACAACGAAGCCAGUGUUCUAUCAAUGGACUAUCUAUAUCAGUUGGCUCACAAAUGCUGCCAUCAAUGAAGCCAAGUUUAUUCUUGAUUUGCAGAGCCCUCUUCAUGGAACUUGCCCAAAAAUGGUAGUUACUGGAAUCAAGCAUCUAUGUAACAAGCAAUGUUCUUGAAUUUUUAUUUGCUCCAAUGAAGUAUGGACUGUUGGGAAGGGACGGAUCAUGAGGAUUUGUAUUUGAAUUUGUGUUUUGAGGUAUUGUUUGAUUUUGGUUUUCAUUUGUGUUGAUACUAUCACCAUCGUUGUCAGCCAACUUGCUCUGAUACCAUAAAUCAAAUAACAACAGAUUGUAGAAGAAAGGGGAUGAAUGAAGUUGAAUUUAUGAAAUAUAAAAAACAUUACAUUUUGUAUUUUUUGGCUAUGCAUUUUGAAAGGGG
Molecule: long non-coding RNA, 3584 nt
Filed under: Olea europaea subsp. europaea
Lineage: Eukaryota; Viridiplantae; Streptophyta; Magnoliopsida; Lamiales; Oleaceae
Source: RNAcentral